GACGAACGCUGGCGGCGUGCUUAACACAUGCAAGUCGAACGAAGUGGCGAACGGGUGAGUAACGCGUAUACAACCCGCCCUUCUGUGGGGGACAACAGUUGGAAACGACUCCAAAUCCCGCAUACUGAAGGUGGGGUUUGCGUCUGAUUAGCUAGUUGGCGGGGUAACGGCCCACCAAGGCGAUGAUAAGUAGCCGGUCUGAGAGGAUGAACGGCCACAUUGGGACUGGGACACGGCCCCGACUCCUACGGGAGGCAGCAGUGGGGAAUCUUCCGCAAUGGACGAAAGUCUGACGGAGCAACGCCGCGUGAGUGAUGACGGCCUUCGGGUUGUAAAGCUCUGUUAAUCGGGACGCGGUACCGGAAUAGAAAGCCACGGCUAACUACGUGCCAGCAGCCGCGGUAAUUC
RNAcentral lists this ribosomal RNA (408 nucleotides) under uncultured bacterium. RNAcentral describes it as "partial 16S ribosomal RNA". It matches the Rfam family "Bacterial small subunit ribosomal RNA", at positions 28 to 526 of the family's 1533-position model. The record is from RNAcentral.